This is a long non-coding RNA of Cyprinus carpio carpio, 1193 nucleotides long. The record is from Ensembl. Lineage: Eukaryota; Metazoa; Chordata; Actinopteri; Cypriniformes; Cyprinidae.
UAUUACUGAUUAGAUAUAGACAUAAAUAUUACUGAUUAGAUAUUACUGAUCUCAGGUGUGACUUGAUAUUUAUCCAAUUUACCCAAAGAUCUUUAUUAUUUAGGGAAAUAUAUAUAUAUAUAUAUAUAUAUAUAUAUAUAUAUAUAUUUCCCUAAAUAAUAAAGAUCUUUGGGUAAAUUGGAUAAAUAUCAAGUCACACCUGAGAUCAGUAAUAUUAUGACAUCACAACAGUCAUAGCGCUUUGUACAAUAUAGACUGUCAAAGCAUUUUUUUUUUUUUUUUUUUUGCAGUAUUAAACAGAAACAACGUGUGCUGAUAAUGCAAAAGGACAAUUGAUUUAUCAGUUAAAGUCAGUCCAUCGUUGAUUCAGUCAUGUCAUCGUCCAGCUCCGUUCAGUUCUCUUCAAAUAGUGUCUGUGCAGUCAAGUCAACAAUGUUGCCAGAGAUUGUGUCCCCAACUACGCAAGCCAAAUGUGAUAGUGACAAGGAACCAAGACUCCAUCAGUGACAGAAAUGGAGAAAAAAAAACCUUGGGAGAAACCAGGCUCAGUCAGUUCUCUUCUGGUCAGACGAAACCUGCAUGGUGUGGUUUAAUUGCAGGCUGCAACACAGCGCACCACAGUUCCAUCAACUGUCCCAAGUGUCUAUGCUUGCACUUCUCCUGCAGUCCCUAUUAUCAGGUGGGUUUAAGUGAGAAUUUUUGCAUUGGAGGUAAUGCAUGGACGGAAACUGCAUGAAAAUUUGAACAGUGUCCCAAAAAAUUUUAUUUAUAAUAAAAUCUGGCGAUAUAUUUCAGUGAUCACCAAAGCUGCAUUUAUUUAAUGAAAAAUACUAUAUUUAUUUAUUUAUUUAUUUAUUUAUUUAUUUAUUAAAUGUAAUUUCAUUUAUUGCUGUGAUUUUUCAGCAGCCAUUACUCUAGUCUUUAGUGUGACAUGGUCAUUCAGAAAUCAUUCUAAUAUGUUAGCUUGGUGCUCAAGAAACAUUUAUUAUAGGUUUAAAAAAAAAAAAAAAAAGAAUGAUUCAUAGAUUAAUUCAUUGAUGAUGUUUUUUCAGUGAUAUAAUGAUCUUGUCAAAUGAAGUGUCAGUUUGAAUGUACUGGCUAAAAACUGUAGUCUUUUACGGCUUACGUGCUUCUGCUGUGCUGUAGCAGACCAUCUUCUCCUCCUGAACUCAGUUUGAGUCUCGCAUUGGGGC